RNAcentral lists this ribosomal RNA (466 nucleotides) under uncultured bacterium. RNAcentral describes it as "partial 16S ribosomal RNA". It matches the Rfam family "Bacterial small subunit ribosomal RNA", at positions 29 to 507 of the family's 1533-position model. The record is from RNAcentral.
ACGAACGCUGGCGGCGUGCUUAACACAUGCAAGUCGAACGGAAAGGCCUCAGCUUGCUGGGGUACUCGAGUGGCGAACGGGUGAGUAACGCGUGGGUGAUCUGCCUUGCACUCUGGGAUAAGCUUGGGAAACUGGGUCUAAUACCGGAUAUGAACUGCCUUUAGUGUGGUGGUUGGAAAGUUUUUUCGGUGCAAGAUGAGCUCGCGGCCUAUCAGCUUGUUGGUGGGGUAAUGGCCUACCAAGGCGUCGACGGGUAGCCGGCCUGAGAGGGUGUACGGCCACAUUGGGACUGAGAUACGGACCAGACUCCUACGGGAGGCAGCAGUGGGGAAUAUUGCACAAUGGGCGGAAGCCUGAUGCAGCGACGCCGCGUGGGGGAUGACGGCCUUCGGGUUGUAAACUCCUUUCGACAGGGACGAAGCUUUUUGUGACGGUACCUGUAUAAGAAGCACCGGCUAACUACGUG